UCUAGGCUGGUACUGCUGA
Molecule: microRNA, 19 nt
Filed under: Pan troglodytes (chimpanzee)
Lineage: Eukaryota; Metazoa; Chordata; Mammalia; Primates; Hominidae
Also listed under: 2 other names
Description: ptr-miR-645
Gene: ptr-miR-645
Source: miRBase by way of RNAcentral